RNAcentral lists this ribosomal RNA (675 nucleotides) under uncultured Tomentella. RNAcentral describes it as "eukaryotic LSU rRNA". The stretch from base 258 to 412 matches the Rfam family "5.8S ribosomal RNA". The record is from RNAcentral. Lineage: Eukaryota; Fungi; Basidiomycota; Agaricomycetes; Thelephorales; Thelephoraceae.
UAGAGGAAGUAAAAGUCGUAACAAGGUUUCCGUAGGUGAACCUGCGGAAGGAUCAUUACCGAAUUGUCAAACGGGUUGUUGCUGGUCUUCAAACGGGGACAUGUGCACGCUCUGUUUACACAUCCACUCACACCUGUGCACCCUCCGUAGUUCUAUGGUCUGGGGGACCCUGUCUUCCCGCCGUGGUUCUACGUCUUUACACACACUCUGUAAUAAAGUCUUAUGGAAUGUAUGCCGCGUCUAACGCAAUACAAUACAACUUUCAGCAACGGAUCUCUUGGCUCUCGCAUCGAUGAAGAACGCAGCGAAAUGCGAUAAGUAAUGUGAAUUGCAGAAUUCAGUGAAUCAUCGAAUCUUUGAACGCACCUUGCGCCCCUUGGCUAUUCCGAGGGGCAUGCCUGUUUGAGUAUCAUGAACACCUCAACUCUCAUGGUUCGCCAUGAUGAGCUUGGACUCUGGGGGUUUUGCUGGCCUGCGGUCGGCUCCCCUCAAAUGAAUCAGCCUCCCAGUGUUUGGUGGCAUCACGGGUGUGAUAAAUAUCUACGCUCGCGGUUGUCCGCCAGGUAACCUUUGGUGACAAAGGUUUGCUGGAGCUCACAGAUGUCUCUCCUCGGCGAGGACAGCUUUUUUGAACGUUCGAUCUCAAAUCAGGUAGGACUACCCGCUGAACUUAAG